UGCGGAUUAGCUCAGUUGGAAGCAGCGGCCGGCUCUGAACCGGCAGAUCAAAGGUUCGAAUCCUUUAUCCGCAG
RNAcentral lists this transfer RNA (74 nucleotides) under Hungatella hathewayi. RNAcentral describes it as "tRNA-Gln". It matches the Rfam family "tRNA". Rfam says of the family: Transfer RNA (tRNA) molecules are approximately 80 nucleotides in length. Their secondary structure includes four short double-helical elements and three loops (D, anti-codon, and T loops). Lineage: Bacteria; Bacillati; Bacillota; Clostridia; Lachnospirales; Lachnospiraceae. The record is from RNAcentral. RNAcentral also lists the same sequence under 4 other names.